CCAAAGAGAGAGAGAGAGAGUUAAAAUGUGUACAAGACAAAGGAAAAUUCAAGACGUCAUACGGUACGAGCUUCGCUCCUCAAUUAAAUUCCUGCCUAUCUUCCUGCCCCCAAUCUGUUCCCGAAUACGGUUCCUGCAAAAACAGAACUGGGUCAUUCCAGCAACUGAAUACCCCGAAAAACAAUCAAUUAGAAAGGGCGAAAUAAUCACACGCCACUGCUCUGAUCACAGCCAUCAAUCAGACAGAGAUAGCCAUGCCAGUGUGCAUGUAACACAAAUCUCGACUGCAGCACGGACAACAACAAGGACAACAACAGGAACAGGAAGAAGAAUGAGAAGGAGAAGUAGCGGCAGUGCCAGGAAAUGAUGAAGAGGAAUGUAAUGAAGGAGCUGUAACAACAACAACAACAGCCGCAGCAGCGGCACUAAAAGAAGACAUGUGAGAUUGAUGAC
This is a long non-coding RNA of Drosophila pseudoobscura, 453 nucleotides long. RefSeq lists it as uncharacterized. NCBI's taxonomy places the organism in Eukaryota, Metazoa, Arthropoda, Insecta, Diptera, Drosophilidae. The transcript is spliced from 2 exons. The record is from RefSeq and is a predicted model, not a curated record.